This 560-nucleotide ribosomal RNA is filed under the name uncultured Glomus. Its description in RNAcentral is "SSU rRNA". It matches the Rfam family "Eukaryotic small subunit ribosomal RNA", at positions 546 to 1106 of the family's 1831-position model. Lineage: Eukaryota; Fungi; Glomeromycota; Glomeromycetes; Glomerales; Glomeraceae. The record is from RNAcentral.
AAUUGGAGGGCAAGUCUGGUGCCAGCAGCCGCGGUAAUUCCAGCUCCAAUAGCGUAUAUUAAAGUUGUUGCAGUUAAAAAGCUCGUAGUUGAAUUUCGGGAUCAAUAUUUCGGUCAUGCCGUUGGUAUGCACUGUUAUCAUUGAUUUCUCACCUUCUAAAGAACCGUAAUGCCAUUAAUUUGGUGUUACGGGGAAUUAGGACUGUUACCUUGAAAAAAUUAGAGUGUUUAAGGCAGGCUCACGCUUGAAUACAUUAGCAUGGAAUAAUGAAAUAGGACAUCCGAUUCUAUUUUGUUGGUUUCUAGGAUCGAUGUAAUGAUUAAUAGGGAUAGUUGGGGGCAUUAGUAUUCAAUUGUCAGAGGUGAAAUUCUUGGAUUUAUUGAAGACUAACUACUGCGAAAGCAUUUGCCAAGGAUGUUUUCAUUAAUCAAGAACGAAAGUUAGGGGAUCGAAGACGAUCAGAUACCGUCGUAGUCUUAACCAUAAACUAUGCCGACUAGGGAUCGGAUGAUGUUAAUUUUUUAAUGACUCAUUCGGCGCCUUACGGGAAACCAAAGUGU